The sequence is a transfer RNA, 109 nucleotides long. It matches the Rfam family "tRNA". Rfam says of the family: Transfer RNA (tRNA) molecules are approximately 80 nucleotides in length. Their secondary structure includes four short double-helical elements and three loops (D, anti-codon, and T loops).
UCUCAGAUGGUCCAGUGGUCAAGAUUUCCGCCUGUCAGUACAUAUUAGUAGGAAUUUUCCUCCUAAUAUGAGCUCGCGGACGACCGGGGUUCGAUUCCCCGUCUGAGAG